RNAcentral lists this small RNA (52 nucleotides) under Drosophila erecta. RNAcentral's name for it is "GG26888". Lineage: Eukaryota; Metazoa; Arthropoda; Insecta; Diptera; Drosophilidae. The record is from RNAcentral.
CAGCUAAUUGAUUGGUUGUAUGGGUGUAUGGGCAUGUAUGGGUAUGAGUGAG